AGAGUUUGAUCAUGGCUCAGAUUGAACGCUGGCGGCAGGCCUAACACAUGCAAGUCGAGCGGCAGCACAGAGGAACUUGUUCCUUGGGUGGCGAGCGGCGGACGGGUGAGUAAUGCCUGGGAAAUUGCCCGGUAGAGGGGGGAUAACCAUUGGAAACGAUGGCUAAUACCGCAUAACCUCGCAAGAGCAAAGCAGGGGACCUUCGGGCC
Molecule: ribosomal RNA, 209 nt
Filed under: Vibrio cholerae HC-22A1
Lineage: Bacteria; Pseudomonadati; Pseudomonadota; Gammaproteobacteria; Vibrionales; Vibrionaceae
Also listed under: 1 other name
Description: partial 16S ribosomal RNA
Rfam family: Bacterial small subunit ribosomal RNA
Source: RNAcentral